This is a long non-coding RNA of Beta vulgaris subsp. vulgaris (sugar beet), 1871 nucleotides long. RefSeq lists it as uncharacterized. The transcript is spliced from 3 exons. Lineage: Eukaryota; Viridiplantae; Streptophyta; Magnoliopsida; Caryophyllales; Amaranthaceae. The record is from RefSeq and is a predicted model, not a curated record.
GAUAUCUUUUUACUUAUGUGGAAAGAGAACUGGAUACUCUUACCUCUAUGUUGGGCACCCGUCUGCAUGGAAUAGAUGGCCCAGUUAUGACCUAGGUUCCACUUAUGUGUUCUCCCACACAUGCAUCGUGUUCAGGAGAAGCUAAACUUGUAAUCAAUUGUGAUGGCAUACAAGAAAAUCCUUCUCUGUCUCCUAUGUCACACUUUUAAGAUAAUUUAAACUCAGUCUUUCAUCUUCUGAUUCAAAGUCAUUAUGAGAAGACAAGUCCUCAUAUGUGACACUAUAUUCUGAAGGAAUUAGAAACCUAUUCCAUUUCGUGUCCCCACAAAAAUGUUCUAUUAAUUUAUUUCCAUAUUUUGAUUUCUAAGAAUCUCCGGGCUUAUUUUUGAUGAGCUUCUGACUCUUGUCAUUGCAUCUCAAGUUGGUUCAUUUGCAAUCUCGAUGACUUAAUGUUAUUCUAGUGAAUUCCGAGUAGCUCAUUUUGAGCCGGGAGCAUCAUUGUAUUGAUGUAUUCUUUAGGAUUAGUGGCGUAAGUGGAGUUUGAUGACUUAGGGAUAGUAGGGCAUUUUCCACAUAGCAAAGUGGAUCAAGUAUCCUGAGAAAUGUCCAUAUAAACAUACAAGUAUAUGGUGUUAAACUUGUCCUCUCUUUCUGUACUAAUCUAAUUCUUCCUUUUGUUUUUAUGAAGUUUUUUUUAGCUGGAGCCAUAGUUAGCUUGAUAUUUUUUUGUUUGGUUUCAAAACUAAUUAGCUACAAACUUUAGUUGUUACUGAUCUACUCUUUUUCCCUAUAGCUCUACUCCUUAUUGUUUGUCAUUUUUACUUCUGCUGCCUUUAUUCUACCAGUCUGCAGAGCAAAUUGGGAUUGGGGAUGUGUUCAACAAGUUGGCAAAGCAGUUGGGAAAUCCUGUAGAGUUUGAACUUCCAGAUUGGUCAAAUAAAUGGCAGUCUGCUCCAUAUAUUUUUAUAAAACGCAGUAUCCAUCAAAUGAUUUAUUCAUGCAUUUUUUUAUCCAUGAUUGUGCAUAAGUGAAAAUAUGUAGAAGAUCUUGUAAUCCGAUUCUUAUACUUCUAGAAGGGAUAUGUACUGCAGUUAUCGUCUACCUUUUUAGACUUUUAUAUAUGUUUCUAAGCAAUCUUUGCAAAAGAUAAUUAUAGUUUGCUGGGCCGUAGUUGUCUAGAUUUGAAGAAUGACUAUAAAUAAUUUAUGUUUGUCCAAUUUUACUUCUAUUCAGCCGCUGUUUUUCUUUGCAAUCCACAUAUCUUCUUUUUGUUUUGCAAGCAUUGCAUCCUUUAUUUUCCUUUUGUUUAUCUUGAAAAAACUAGACAUAUAUGUCACUAAGAAGCCAACGAGGCGCCAUGAGGAUGAUGGCAUCUUUUGCUCAUGCGGUCAAUCUCCAGGAUCUAGUUCUUCCUGUGGUAGAGACUGUCAUUGUGGGUUUAUCUGAUACUUGAUAAAUGCAUCCUUGCUAGAGAGCUUUAGGAAACGAGUAAGAAGGUACUCAAUAGAUUAUGGAAUGUUCCAUUUCUGUAUUGCAGAUACAGAGCAUGACUGGAGGGCAGGUAGUGAGCAAUACAAGUUCCUUGAAAAAUGUCUUGCAUCAGCAAAUAGACACAAGCAACCUUGGUUGAUCUCUCGGAUAUUCGUCUAAUAAAUGGUUUGGAGAGGAGGGGUCAUUUGAAGAGCCAAUGGUAGGGCGUAAAUUAAGUUUUGGUGCAUGGGAUUCCAGAAAAUCUGAUGUCCUUAUAACAUUUAAGGAAUAUGUUCAUAUGGAUAUAUUAGUUUACCUUAAUUUUAAUUGUUAUUUAUUUGUACUAUAUCUUGUAUUUAUGAACAAAAAUAUUAGAAAUGAAACUUUUAUCUACAUGUAAA